This 253-nucleotide ribosomal RNA is filed under the name uncultured bacterium. RNAcentral describes it as "partial 16S ribosomal RNA". It matches the Rfam family "Bacterial small subunit ribosomal RNA", at positions 524 to 776 of the family's 1533-position model. The record is from RNAcentral.
UACGAAGGGGGCUAGCGUUGUUCGGAAUUACUGGGCGUAAAGGGCGCGUAGGCGGCUCUGAUCGUCGGAUGUGAAAGGCCUGGGCUCAACCUGGGAAUGGCAUCCGAUACGGCGGGGCUGGAGUGUGGGAGAGGUUGGUGGAAUUCCCAGUGUAGAGGUGAAAUUCGUAGAUAUUGGGAAGAACACCGGUGGCGAAGGCGGCCAACUGGACCACAACUGACGCUGAGGCGCGAAAGCUAGGGGAGCAAACAGG